This 676-nucleotide ribosomal RNA is filed under the name Paenarthrobacter nitroguajacolicus. RNAcentral describes it as "bacterial SSU rRNA". It matches the Rfam family "Bacterial small subunit ribosomal RNA", at positions 67 to 755 of the family's 1533-position model. The record is from RNAcentral. Lineage: Bacteria; Bacillati; Actinomycetota; Actinomycetes; Micrococcales; Micrococcaceae.
CGAUGAUCCCAGCUUGCUGGGGGAUUAGUGGCGAACGGGUGAGUAACACGUGAGUAACCUGCCCUUGACUCUGGGAUAAGCCUGGGAAACUGGGUCUAAUACCGGAUACGACCAUCUGGCGCAUGUCAUGGUGGUGGAAAGCUUUUGUGGUUUUGGAUGGACUCGCGGCCUAUCAGCUUGUUGGUGGGGUAAUGGCCUACCAAGGCGACGACGGGUAGCCGGCCUGAGAGGGUGACCGGCCACACUGGGACUGAGACACGGCCCAGACUCCUACGGGAGGCAGCAGUGGGGAAUAUUGCACAAUGGGCGCAAGCCUGAUGCAGCGACGCCGCGUGAGGGAUGACGGCCUUCGGGUUGUAAACCUCUUUCAGUAGGGAAGAAGCCGUAAGGUGACGGUACCUGCAGAAGAAGCGCCGGCUAACUACGUGCCAGCAGCCGCGGUAAUACGUAGGGCGCAAGCGUUAUCCGGAAUUAUUGGGCGUAAAGAGCUCGUAGGCGGUUUGUCGCGUCUGCUGUGAAAGACCGGGGCUCAACUCCGGUUCUGCAGUGGGUACGGGCAGACUAGAGUGCAGUAGGGGAGACUGGAAUUCCUGGUGUAGCGGUGAAAUGCGCAGAUAUCAGGAGGAACACCGAUGGCGAAGGCAGGUCUCUGGGCUGUAACUGACGCUGAGGAGCG